AGCGAACGUUAGCGGCGGGCCUAACACAUGCAAGUCGAACGCGAAAGGUCUUCGGACUGAGUAGAGUGGCGCACGGGUGAGUAACACGUAGGUAAUCUACCCUUUGGCGGGGGAUAACGUUCCGAAAGGAGCGCUAAUACCGCAUAAGACCACGGAGUCUCCGGACGCUGUGGAAAAAGGUGGCCUCUUCUUGAAAGCUACCACCGAAGGAUGAGCCUGCGUCCCAUCAGCUAGUUGGUAAGGUAAUGGCUUACCAAGGCGAAGACGGGUAGCUGGUUUGAGAGAAUGAUCAGCCACACUGGCACUGGAACACGGGCCAGACUCCUACGGGAGGCAGCAGUGAGGAAUAUUGGGCAAUGGGCGAAAGCCUGACCCAGCCACGCCGCGUGAGUGAUGAAGGCCCUCGGGUCGUAAAGCUCUGUGGAGAGGGACGAAAACCCUGGUUUCAAAUAGGCUCCAGGCUUGACGGUACCUCUUUAGCAAGCACCGGCUAACUCUGUGCCAGCAGCCG
Molecule: ribosomal RNA, 511 nt
Filed under: uncultured bacterium
Lineage: Bacteria
Description: bacterial SSU rRNA
Rfam family: Bacterial small subunit ribosomal RNA
Source: RNAcentral